AUCUGAUUUAUUCGUUAUCCAGUGAUGAAGAUCUUGGCUGUCACUUCUGUGGAUAAGGAGCAGAGGAACUCAUGUAAGGAACAAAGUUCGUGUUCCUGGUUUGCAGUGCGUUUUCCCCAAGUGAACACCACAGAUGCUUUAGUCAUUCUCUGAUGCUAAAGAUCCUGGCUUUUACAAAACCUGUGGGUAAGGAGACAAGAGACUGAUAAUGACCAUGGGACAGUGGACUUACUCAUUUUCUAAGUGGGUAAAGAACACAGAGACAAACAAGAACAAGACAGAGCUGAUCUAAUCAUCCUGUAACUGUGUAGGCCCUGGCUCUUACUUCUGGGACCAAGGAGCAUGAACACUGAUAGCGAACAUAAGACAGCCGAUUUCAUCAUUUAAUAAAGAAUUGUUAUCGUGAGCAAGGAGCAUAAAGACAAAUAUAAGUAAGUCCCUCAGUUCACGUCCUUUGUUUGGAU
Molecule: long non-coding RNA, 464 nt
Organism: Equus quagga
Lineage: Eukaryota; Metazoa; Chordata; Mammalia; Perissodactyla; Equidae
Exons: 5
Source: RefSeq, a predicted model, not a curated record